GAGGUCAGUGGUUCUCAAAGGAUGAUCCAUU
This 31-nucleotide non-coding RNA is filed under the name Homo sapiens (human). Lineage: Eukaryota; Metazoa; Chordata; Mammalia; Primates; Hominidae. The record is from RNAcentral.